AUUGAAUUAAAAUCAGAAAUCUCUUGCACCCAAUCUCAUCUGAUCUAGGAAGCUAAGCAGGGCCAGAUGGGUUAAUACUUGGAUGGGAGAAAUCUCAAGUUGGCAGGCCAAUUUCAGUC
This 119-nucleotide ribosomal RNA is filed under the name Microcebus murinus (gray mouse lemur). The record is from RNAcentral. Lineage: Eukaryota; Metazoa; Chordata; Mammalia; Primates; Cheirogaleidae.